Molecule: ribosomal RNA, 2421 nt
Filed under: Triticum aestivum (bread wheat)
Lineage: Eukaryota; Viridiplantae; Streptophyta; Magnoliopsida; Poales; Poaceae
Description: partial small subunit ribosomal RNA
Source: RNAcentral
AUGCAGCAGCAGCAGCACCACAUGGUGGCGCCGUGCAAACCCCACGCAGCGCGGCGGGCGGCGCUCCCGCUGCCCGGGCCGUCGCUCCGACGAGCUUUCCUUUGCAGUCCAGCGAGGGCGGGAGCGGCGGCGUCAAAGCGGACGGCGGUGAGGACGAGGUGCCAGGAAGAGAAGCAGCAGAGCGGUGACGGCGAGAAGAAGCAGCAGGAGAAGGAGAAGAGGACGUUCCUGAGCCUGGAGGAGGCCGGGCUGGUGGAGAUGUCCGGGCUCAGCACCCACGAGCGCUUCCUCUGCCGCCUCACCAUCUCGUCGCUGAACCUGCUGCGGGUGAUCUCGGAGCAGGAGGGGGUGGCGAUCGAGGAGCUCAACGCCGGGCGGGUGUGCGACUGGUUCCUCAAGGACAAGCUCAAGCGGGAGCAGAACCUCGACACCGCCGUCCUGCACCUCAAGAACGCCUCCACGCUCUCUUCGUCCAACACCUCUGCAGCGAUGCGAAGGUUCUGCAGCGUCCCGCGCGGCCGGCGGGCGUCGGGCCCCCACGGCGGCGGCCACCCUCCGCCGGAGUGGAUCGAGCCGUACACCGACCUCGCCGACCCGAGCCCGUACACCGCCUCCUCGGCCGCGCCGCCCACCCCGUCGCCGUGGCUGCCGCGCGUCGUCUCCCUGGUCCUCCGCGCGCCGCCUGCCACGCUCGCCGCCGACCUGCGCGCCUUCUGCCGCACCUUCCUCCUGCGCCUCUCCCCGGCCUUCGUCGCCGCCGCGCUGCGCUCCCCGCAGCUCCUGCCCCACCCGCUCCCGUCGCUCCGCUUCUUCCGCGCCCUGCCCGGCGGCACCGACGACCUCGCCGCCCACCCGCAGCACCUCCUCGGCUGCUACGUCUCGCUGCUCCACUCCUUCGCGCGCGCCAGGGAGGCCACCCCCGACGCCGCCGGCCACGCGGGGCGGCUCGUCGCCGAGCUGCGCGCCCGCGGGGACGGGGACGGCCUGCUGCGGCACCUCACGCCGCCGUCGGCCGCGUCGCUGGUCCGUAGCCUCGCGGCCCUCGGCCUCGCCGACGAGCUGCUGUGGGCGUGGAACGGCAUGCGCCUCGCCGGCGUCGAGCCGUCCAGGGUCACCUACAACUGCCUCCUCGACGGCCUCGUCAACGCGGGCCUCCUUGACACCGCCGUCAACGUGUUCGACGCAAUGUCCACGGAAGACCCGGUUCGCCCUGACGUGGUCUCCUACAACAUUCUCAUCAAGGGGUACUGCCGCGCCGGGAGGGUGCAGGAUGCGAUGGCUCGGCUCGAUCACAUGAGGGAACAGGAGGAGCUGUCGCCCGACAAGAUAACGUACCUUACACUGAUGCAGUGCCAUUACAGCGAGGGCACGUUUUCACAGUGCGUGGCAUUGUUCCAAGAAAUGGAAGAGAGGGGAAUUGGCAAGGACAUUCCGCAGCAUGCAUAUGUGCUGGUGAUCGGCGCGCUCUGCAAGGAUGGGAAGCCGUUUGAGGGGAUGGCCGUGUUCGAGAGAAUGCUGAAGCGUGGUUGCCCAGCCAAAGCAGCCAUGUACACUGCGCUCAUUGAUUCAAUGGGUAAAUUUGGAAGGGAGACCGAGGCAAUGUCACUCUUUGAGAGGAUGAAGAGUAGCGGGCUUGAGCUCGACGCCGUCACAUAUGGAGUGAUUGUUAACUGCUUGUGCCGGUUUGGGAGGCUGGAUGAGGCCAUUUCAUGUUUCAGGAGUUGUGUGGAGAAAGGUAUUGCAGUGAACCCUAUCUUCUAUACAAGCCUGAUUGAUGGCUUUGGGAAAGCUGGAAUGGUCGACCAAGCACAGGAGCUCUUCGAGGAGAUGAAAGUUAAAGGUUUUGUGCCGGACUCAUAUUGCUACAACGUGCUGAUUGAUGGUUUAGCUAAAGCAGGAAGGACGGAUGAUGCUUGUGCCUUGUACAAGAGAAUGGAAGAUGAUGGCUGUGAUCAGACUGUUUACACGUAUACCAUACUGAUCGAUGGUUUGUUCAAGGAACACAAGAAUGAGGAGGCGCUGAAGUUGUGGGAUGCGAUGAUCGACAAGGGGAUCACUCCCACAGCUGCAGCUUUCAGGGCCCUUGCCAACGGGCUAUGUCUUUCUGGCAAAUACAGCCGAGCAUGCAGGAUAUUGGAUGAACUGGCUCCAAUGGGUGUGAUUCCUGAGACGGCACACGAGGACAUGAUCAAUGCUCUGUGCAGGGCCGGCAGAUUCAAGCAGGCCUGCAAAUUGGCAGAUGGCAUCGUAGGAAAGGGCCGUGAGAUACCUGGCAGGGUUCGAACAAUGAUGAUCAACGCACUCAGGAAAGCGGGGAAUACUGAUCUAGCUGUCAAGCUGGUGCAUAGUAAGAUAGGCAUUGGGUAUGAAAGAUCUGGCAGCAUCAAGAGAAGAGUGAAGUUUCAGACGCUGUUUGCCUGA